The sequence is a ribosomal RNA, 262 nucleotides long. It matches the Rfam family "Bacterial small subunit ribosomal RNA", at positions 874 to 1140 of the family's 1533-position model.
UGGGGAGUACGGUCGCAAGAUUAAAACUCAAAGGAAUUGACGGGGACCCGCACAAGCGGUGGAUGAUGUGGAUUAAUUCGAUGCAACGCGAAAAACCUUACCUACCCUUGACAUGGAUGGAAUCCCGGAGAGAUUUGGGAGUGCUCGAAAGAGAACCAUUACACAGGUGCUGCAUGGCUGUCGUCAGCUCGUGUCGUGAGAUGUUGGGUUAAGUCCCGCAACGAGCGCAACCCUUGUCAUUAGUUGCUACGAAAGGGCACUC